UACGAGGGGGGCGAGCGUUGUUCGGAAUUAUUGGGCGUAAAGGGUGCGUAGGCGGUUUGGUAAGUCUGAUGUGAAAUCUAUGGGCUCAACUCAUAGUCUGCAUCGGAAACUGCCGGGCUUGAGUGUGGGAGAGGUGAGUGGAAUUCCUGGUGUAGCGGUGAAAUGCGUAGAUAUCAGGAGGAACACCUGUGGCGAAAGCGGCUCACUGGACCAUAACUGACGCUGGGGAGCGAAAGCGUGGGGAGCAAACAGG
Molecule: ribosomal RNA, 253 nt
Filed under: uncultured bacterium
Lineage: Bacteria
Description: partial 16S ribosomal RNA
Rfam family: Bacterial small subunit ribosomal RNA
Source: RNAcentral